Diorhabda carinulata is the source of this 486-nucleotide long non-coding RNA. RefSeq lists it as uncharacterized. The transcript has 2 exons. The record is from RefSeq and is a predicted model, not a curated record. Lineage: Eukaryota; Metazoa; Arthropoda; Insecta; Coleoptera; Chrysomelidae.
ACUAACCUUUGUGUAGCAUUCGAAAUAUCAUUCAUAUUUAACAAAUCGAUGAACAUUGACUCACAUGACAGCUCGCUGUAUGGUAAAGAAAAUGGCUGUCGUAUAUCAGCAGGUCCAAAAUUUUAAAAUAAAAUCAAUUAGCAGCGGUGAUAAUUUCAAAUUUGUUUGUGUGUUUACUGUGAAUAAGCAAAAAUGAAAGUCUAAUAUCGACUUUAUUAAGUGCAACCCGUAGAGUGAUCGUGUUAUCCAGGGUGUGAAACUGUUUUUCGAAUGGACAAAAAAUGUAAACAAACACCUGUGGCGAUGAGAAAAAGCGAUGAUGCCGCGUCAACAAUUACUAUGAAGUUUUUAUCAUACAUUCGAGAAGCUUGAAUAUUUCAUUAGAAGUUAUAAUUAAAUCGAAGUGGUUUAUGUCUGUCAAAUUCUUUUCAUUUUUGUACACAUAUGCAAUUUAAUUAUAAAUAUAAAAUUACAUAACCAUCGAAA